This 830-nucleotide ribosomal RNA is filed under the name Rhodococcus sp. LCK-2009.38. RNAcentral describes it as "bacterial SSU rRNA". It matches the Rfam family "Bacterial small subunit ribosomal RNA", at positions 60 to 905 of the family's 1533-position model. The record is from RNAcentral. Lineage: Bacteria; Bacillati; Actinomycetota; Actinomycetes; Mycobacteriales; Nocardiaceae.
AGUCGAGCGGUAAGGCCUUUCGGGGUACACGAGCGGCGAACGGGUGAGUAACACGUGGGUGAUCUGCCCUGCACUUCGGGAUAAGCCUGGGAAACUGGGUCUAAUACCGGAUAUGACCUCAGGUUGCAUGACUUGGGGUGGAAAGAUUUAUCGGUGCAGGAUGGGCCCGCGGCCUAUCAGCUUGUUGGUGGGGUAAUGGCCUACCAAGGCGACGACGGGUAGCCGACCUGAGAGGGUGACCGGCCACACUGGGACUGAGACACGGCCCAGACUCCUACGGGAGGCAGCAGUGGGGAAUAUUGCACAAUGGGCGAAAGCCUGAUGCAGCGACGCCGCGUGAGGGAUGACGGCCUUCGGGUUGUAAACCUCUUUCAGCAGGGACGAAGCGCAAGUGACGGUACCUGCAGAAGAAGCACCGGCUAACUACGUGCCAGCAGCCGCGGUAAUACGUAGGGUGCAAGCGUUGUCCGGAAUUACUGGGCGUAAAGAGUUCGUAGGCGGUUUGUCGCGUCGUUUGUGAAAACCAGCAGCUCAACUGCUGGCUUGCAGGCGAUACGGGCAGACUUGAGUACUGCAGGGGAGACUGGAAUUCCUGGUGUAGCGGUGAAAUGCGCAGAUAUCAGGAGGAACACCGGUGGCGAAGGCGGGUCUCUGGGCAGUAACUGACGCUGAGGAACGAAAGCGUGGGUAGCGAACAGGAUUAGAUACCCUGGUAGUCCACGCCGUAAACGGUGGGCGCUAGGUGUGGGUUCCUUCCACGGAAUCCGUGCCGUAGCUAACGCAUUAAGCGCCCCGCCUGGGGAGUACNGGCCGCAAGGCUAAAACUCAGA